RNAcentral lists this ribosomal RNA (289 nucleotides) under uncultured bacterium. RNAcentral's name for it is "partial 16S ribosomal RNA". It matches the Rfam family "Bacterial small subunit ribosomal RNA", at positions 775 to 1067 of the family's 1533-position model. The record is from RNAcentral.
GGAUUAGAUACCCUGGUAGUCCGCACGGUAAACGAUGGAUGCCCGCUGUUGGUCUGAAUAGGUCAGCGGCCAAGCGAAAGCAUUAAGCAUCCCACCUGGGGAGUACGCCGGCAACGGUGAAACUCAAAGGAAUUGACGGGGGCCCGCACAAGCGGAGGAACAUGUGGUUUAAUUCGAUGAUACGCGAGGAACCUUACCCGGGCUUGAAUUGCAGAGGAAGGAUUUGGAGACAAUGACGCCCUUCGGGGUCUCUGUGAAGGUGCUGCAUGGUUGUCGUCAGCUCGUGCCG